This 3848-nucleotide small RNA is filed under the name Rattus norvegicus (Norway rat). RNAcentral's name for it is "uncharacterized LOC102549616". Lineage: Eukaryota; Metazoa; Chordata; Mammalia; Rodentia; Muridae. The record is from RNAcentral.
CCUGUGAAAGGGUCAUUCAUUCUCAAAGGGGUUACAACCCAGAGGUCGAGAACUGCUGCUGCAGGGCAUCUCUUGGUGUUGCCAUGUCCUAUGAUUAAAGACAAGCGUCAACUACAACUCAACCCAGGAAGAUGACAGAGGGCACAGAUCCUUCAGGAAUGAAGGUGCACUGCGGCCUAGACACCAGAGCUCCCUAGAGUUCCCCCAAAGCCUUCUGUGACAGCCUGUUUGGAAAUCACAGCCCCAAAGGCAUCAUUUCAUCACCUGGAAAGCCAAGGCAGCCCAUGCUCCAGCCCUGCCUUGAGAACAAAGGCAGGGGACUUCGUUCCUACAGUGCUGAAGGAGAUCUGGGCAGACGCUGUACUGCACUGUGAGAAGGACUGGCUGAGAUGGCUCUUGAAGGGAGGCAGGUGUUUCUACAUGGAACUGCUUCACCCUACACAGAACUCAGUACCCCUCAGAGGAUGCCUUUCUGAGGAGGAAUAUGGCGAGGGGCUCUGGCCUCUGUCCUGAGGGAGAUCUACUCUAUGCCUUGCCAGAAAUCAGUGUGUAUUCCCAGAGCCGGGACCAGGUGUGGCUCAGGAUAGAAGAGUGUCUUCUAGAAGGUAUGUCCUGUCCUGUCAGGCCCUGUCACAGACUCAACUGAGGCUGGGACUAAAGAUGGAGCCAAACCCAAGCCCAAGAGGGACCGAUUUAAAGGCCCAGAACCAGAGUUAUACCUGAGUGAACAGUGAUGGGUGUUGGUGCGGACCUCCUGUGAAUGGUGGUAACUCCUGCUGUCUCCAGGCCUCGGCGUCAGGAAUGUGAGGUAGCAUGUCGUGCCUAAGGACCUCAGGGAUGUUUAACUGGAGCUAAGGGAACAGAUGAACCAUGCACCCUGCUAGAGCGUGUUCUUUCUUGUGUCCCUUCGAGACGAGUCAUGUUGGGGUUCUUCCCCUUGGCUCCUCCCCUUAAGACUGAGACCCUGCUGUGGUCAGGGUCCUCUAGCUUCCUGUGUUAAAGCCUUGUUUACCAGGGUGGUGCCAUCGGGAGGCUGUGGAACCUUUAGAAGAUGGAACCUAGUGGAGGUUCCCUUAGGUCUUUGAGGCACGCCCUGGAAGAGAUUUAGGGACCCUGACUGGUUUUUCUCGUUGCUUCCUGAUUGUGAGGUGGACAGUUUGCUUUGCCUUUCACUCUAGGUCAUUACCAUGUGGUGCCUUCACCAGAAUUCCAAAGCAAUGGACCUGGGCAAUCUCAGGCUGUGAGAUAAAGGUUUUAAAAAUUAAUUAUCUCAGACGUUUCAAUAUAGUGAGUAUUGUGUGCCCAAGAGCUACAAAGUAGCGGCCCAUAGAGGCUGGGUGGGCCUUAAGGAAGGGAGGGUUCAUGAGGCCUAAAAGCUUGACCACAAUGAGCCCACUAGUCAUCUGUCUAAAAAAGUGUCUGUCAGUGGAGACGGAAAAGGGAAACAGUAUUACUGUGUGAGAACAGUGUCUCCAUUAAAGGGAAAAUGCUCUGGCGCUCUAAGGGGCUUUGGCUCCAGGAAGCAGCCCGUGAAAGCUAGCACGUACUGGAACUGAUGAAGCCUCAGGGCGGCAUGCCUAGCCUGAAGCAGAUUUGGAAGCUGGGAGGCAGAGCGUGUGUCCAGGUGGUGAAAUCAGGAGAGCACAGGGCCACCAGAAUGUACCCCAUGCCUCCCAAGAGCUCAGCCGGGAGGGAGCCCGUGAAAAGGCUCGCUGACGUCAGUGAGCCCCGACUCUGUGUCACGGGCUUUUUAAGCAGCAGAGCAUGAAGUUGGCUCUGGAGAGGAGUGAUGGACGUACCAUGGUCUUAGAGGCCUGACUUCGAGGCCGGGCUCCAAUGCUGAGAAAAGUUGUUCCAAUUGGCCAGGCGGUCUGGCACUGCCUGAGAAGCCAUUCAUGCUUCUCAGAGGUGUGACACUCAAAAACUGACUUUCUGUCAUUCUGAAACUCCUACAGGAGAUGGGUUUGAAAGGCAUGGGAAUCUCCUUCCAGGCAUCUCUGGAUCUGUCCAGACCUUCUCCAGAGAGGGUCUAUGCUACUUGCCUCCCAGGACCAAACGCUUCCCGGAUUGACUGGAUGUGACAGCUGCAGCCCUUGUUACAGAUAGUUAGAAGACUCAGUUCCAGGAAGUAGUCUGCUACCCCAAGGGUGACAUUAUCUACAGUUCUGGAAUGUUCUCUGUGCAGACUGUGCCUGAAGAAAUGACAUUUCCUCCCAGGCUUAAAGGAGCAAGGCGCUGGCGUCUUACUUGAGCAGUGGAUUGUUUCUAUGCUCUGGAAAGUGAGAGACUGACAUUGUUUUUUUGGCUCAGAGUCCCACGGCAGACCAGCCACAGCAAGAGAGCCCGUGUGUCCGCCCAGUCGUCAUUUUAUAAUAUUUAAAGUGAUUUUUUUUGUCAUUCAGAUCUUAGUCUUAUUAUAAAAGAAAUGACAGUUAAAUUAAAAGUGGUUUAACAAAAACCACUAGUGACCUCAGGAGCCAGAAAUGGCCAUAGGUCACAUUUUGGUGUGUGUCCUUCUGGUCUUUUAAAUCUUUUAUACAUUUGUAAAUGAAAAGCACGCCCCCAAGGCCCCACUCGGUACAUUGUGAAUGCCUUCUCUGGCCUUUAGUUGGUUGGGUUUUAUGUUCCAAAGAUGCCGCCAUGGAGGCUUGGGAACAAGGAAGGGAUUGAGGGCUGAACUGUGAACUGCGUCCCCUCAGGAUCCACAAGCUGAAGCCCUUACCCUAGCGCUUUGGAAUGUGAGCACAGGUCAGGCUUCCUGUGGCUGACAGAGAGUGAUAGCCAUCCUGAGGAUGUCACAAUGGCUCACGUGCCACGUGCCAAGCUCACAGUGGACCAUGGAUCCAGGUCUAGUCUGCCAUUUCCAGGGAUGUGGAGGGAAAUCCUGGAACCCCCAGAUUGAUGUGGGCAGACCCUGCCACCAAUGCCUCACACUGCAAUCCCACUGUGUGCCUCCUCCUUCUGACGCUGGGCCCUCUUCUGGGUUCUGUGGGCUCCAAGGAUACAGGGCUUGGCGCUGCUUCUUGGCAGCCAUUUGGAUGUACCCUUCAGGUAGGAAUAGGGUGCUCCCCUCCAGAGUUGUCUGCCCCUAGGUCAAAGAGUUGGGCAAAUCCUAUUAUGUUGGCAUUGUUCCUGUUGAUCUUGCAGUUUUCAGUCCUUGGUUGUGUGGGGUAGUGUCAUGGUUCCUGCCUCUAUGCUGAUGAUGCUAUAAACCAUAAAUCUACUAGAUGUGGAAAAAUGAACCAGUCCCUAAAUAACACCAUAAUGCUAUACACUGGAUGCACAGCUCCCUCCAUUAAAAGACAAUCUCAAAACUGCAAUUAAUCUGCACUUGCCAACAUUUAAUUAAAAUUGUAAUCUAAAAUACCAGACUAUCACCAGUGUUUUGAGCAUCCUAAGAAACAGACUCCCACCUGAUAGCAGUUACUCAAGCAAGUUCCAGUGUGCCCUGGUGUCCACAGGGAAUUGCUCCAAGACCACCCAUGGACCGAGUCUAUGGAGGUGCAAGUCCCUCACAUGAGGUCAUGUGUUAAGUAAGUGCACGGAACCUGAAUCCUUCCUCUCAAAGGCAUCAAAUUCUCCCUGACACAGUGACACUCCGGAGAUGCUCUGUAGGUAGUUGCUGUCCUGUAUUGUUUGAAGAGAGAAAGGCAGGAAAUAAAAUUGGCACUUGGUUUGCCCCAGUCCACAUCCUUCCUAACCCUUUUCCCUUGAAGUUGAUUAGCAUUUUAGAUCCUGUAGCCAUGGAGGGCUGACUUACUCGAUUUACUUACUGGACGCUGAAGACCAAGGGUUCCAACUUCCUCACUACUGCGGAGCCAGUCUUCCUAUUUGUGUGUGUGUGUGUG